Molecule: transfer RNA, 100 nt
Filed under: Neocucurbitaria cava
Lineage: Eukaryota; Fungi; Ascomycota; Dothideomycetes; Pleosporales; Cucurbitariaceae
Description: Pyrenochaeta cava tRNA
Rfam family: tRNA
About the family: Transfer RNA (tRNA) molecules are approximately 80 nucleotides in length.
Source: Rfam by way of RNAcentral
GGUGAGAUGGCCGAGUUGGUUAUGGCGCCAGGUUAAGGCUUUCUUAACAGUUAUAUUCCUGGUCACGAAAGUGGCGUGGGUUCGAGUCCCACUCUCAUCA